RNAcentral lists this ribosomal RNA (1372 nucleotides) under uncultured bacterium. RNAcentral describes it as "bacterial SSU rRNA". It matches the Rfam family "Bacterial small subunit ribosomal RNA", at positions 28 to 1381 of the family's 1533-position model. The record is from RNAcentral.
GAUGAACGCUGGCGGCGUGCCUAAUACAUGCAAGUCGAGCGAACGGACGAGAAGCUUGCUUCUCUGAUGUUAGCGGCGGACGGGUGAGUAACACGUGGAUAACCUACCUAUAAGACUGGGAUAACUUCGGGAAACCGGAGCUAAUACCGGAUAAUAUUUUGAACCGCAUGGUUCAAAAGUGAAAGACGGUCUUGCUGUCACUUAUAGAUGGAUCCGCGCUGCAUUAGCUAGUUGGUAAGGUAACGGCUUACCAAGGCAACGAUGCAUAGCCGACCUGAGAGGGUGAUCGGCCACACUGGAACUGAGACACGGUCCAGACUCCUACGGGAGGCAGCAGUAGGGAAUCUUCCGCAAUGGGCGAAAGCCUGACGGAGCAACGCCGCGUGAGUGAUGAAGGUCUUCGGAUCGUAAAACUCUGUUAUUAGGGAAGAACAUAUGUGUAAGUAACUGUGCACAUCUUGACGGUACCUAAUCAGAAAGCCACGGCUAACUACGUGCCAGCAGCCGCGGUAAUACGUAGGUGGCAAGCGUUAUCCGGAAUUAUUGGGCGUAAAGCGCGCGUAGGCGGUUUUUUAAGUCUGAUGUGAAAGCCCACGGCUCAACCGUGGAGGGUCAUUGGAAACUGGAAAACUUGAGUGCAGAAGAGGAAAGUGGAAUUCCAUGUGUAGCGGUGAAAUGCGCAGAGAUAUGGAGGAACACCAAUGGCGAAGGCGACUUUCUGGUCUGUAACUGACGCUGAUGUGCGAAAGCGUGGGGAUCAAACAGGAUUAGAUACCCUGGUAGUCCACGCCGUAAACGAUGAGUGCUAAGUGUUAGGGGGUUUCCGCCCCUUAGUGCUGCAGCUAACGCAUUAAGCACUCCGCCUGGGGAGUACGACCGCAAGGUUGAAACUCAAAGGAAUUGACGGGGACCCGCACAAGCGGUGGAGCAUGUGGUUUAAUUCGAAGCAACGCGAAGAACCUUACCAAAUCUUGACAUCCUUUGACAACUCUAGAGAUAGAGCCUUCCCCUUCGGGGGACAAAGUGACAGGUGGUGCAUGGUUGUCGUCAGCUCGUGUCGUGAGAUGUUGGGUUAAGUCCCGCAACGAGCGCAACCCUUAAGCUUAGUUGCCAUCAUUAAGUUGGGCACUCUAAGUUGACUGCCGGUGACAAACCGGAGGAAGGUGGGGAUGACGUCAAAUCAUCAUGCCCCUUAUGAUUUGGGCUACACACGUGCUACAAUGGACAAUACAAAGGGCAGCGAAACCGCGAGGUCAAGCAAAUCCCAUAAAGUUGUUCUCAGUUCGGAUUGUAGUCUGCAACUCGACUACAUGAAGCUGGAAUCGCUAGUAAUCGUAGAUCAGCAUGCUACGGUGAAUACGUUCCCGGGUCU